UCGUCCUAUUAUCACUCGGCGUGUCUCCUCAAGGUCACCGGGACAGUGUUGCCAACAUCACGGAAGCAGCCUUGCCAACCUAACAGCAGACAGUGUUUACUCAUCAUGUUGGGAAGACUGUGGCAGCUGUUUUGUGAGUGGGUAGACAUUCUGCAACGUUUUUUUACAGCAUCCUGUUGUCCUGGAUUGAACAGUUUUGACACAGAAGAUGAAGAAGAGGAGGAAGAAAAUCUUUUGGAAAGCCCAGUGGACGCGACGGAGAAGACUGACAAACAAGACUAAAUAGUGAAGUGCGCUCAACGUUCGUUAGCUAGUGAAAUUUUCAAUCCUGUUAAUACAUUUUAAAACUAUUUAAACGUGUUUUGCCGAAAUUUAAUAUGAAAUAUUGUCCCCAUGUUUUGCCGAAAAUGAGUUACCAAAUUGCUAAGUCAUCUAGGAAGGAGGCCUCGAUUGUUGCACAUGGAAUCUCCGUCGUAGAGCGGCCUCCGAGUCUUCGCUCUCUGUCCAACUCUGUCCUGGUCACUUGAUGACUACACUUUCUUUCACUUUUGUACUUAUUUAUUUGUGAAAUGUUUUGUUACGAUGUCUUAAAUACAUUGUUUUGUUUUGUAA
Long non-coding RNA from Macrosteles quadrilineatus (aster leafhopper), 612 nucleotides. RefSeq lists it as uncharacterized. The transcript is spliced from 2 exons. NCBI's taxonomy places the organism in Eukaryota, Metazoa, Arthropoda, Insecta, Hemiptera, Cicadellidae. The record is from RefSeq and is a predicted model, not a curated record.